CCAGUACAGAAACAAGGCAAGACUAGAGAUAGGCACCAUGCACGAAAACAAGACAAAACUAGGAAAACAGGGCAAGACUAGAAAUAGGCACCAUACAUGAAAACAAGACAAAACUAGGAAAACCCAGAACCAGAGCAGGACAGAAAGCAUAACCUAGAACAUGUACACAAGACAUGAGGAAAACAAGAACAUAACAUGGGCAUGACUGGACAGGACUGUGCAUGGACUGGG
This is a non-coding RNA of Pelobates cultripes (western spadefoot toad), 231 nucleotides long. The record is from the annotation of a GenBank genome assembly. Lineage: Eukaryota; Metazoa; Chordata; Amphibia; Anura; Pelobatidae.